This 1259-nucleotide long non-coding RNA is filed under the name Theobroma cacao (cacao). RNAcentral's name for it is "long non-coding RNA (TCAC_LNC003741)". Lineage: Eukaryota; Viridiplantae; Streptophyta; Magnoliopsida; Malvales; Malvaceae. The record is from RNAcentral.
ACAAUUUGUAGAUAGUCGAGUAAGACGAGAACUAAGCUCGGAACUGUAUUAUAGAAAGUAAGAGUUCACAGUCUUACAUCUUCUUGGUCAAUUGAGGCCCACGUGUCAUUGCAGAUCAAAUCUUAUAUUAUGGUUAUCUGUAUUUCUAUUCAUACAAUUUUUACUUUACUUUCAUGUGCGAAAAAAUUAUUUACGAAUAUUUCUAUAGAAAUUUAUUUUAUGAGAAAAUAGAAUAUUUUAUUUAUUAUUUUUGAAUAGUACUAAUUGUCAACAAUUUGCUUUUAAAUGAACGUUUUAGAUAUAAAAACUUAUUUCUAAGUGAAAUAUGUGUUUUUCACCUAAUUAUUACAUUUUUAACCUGUCUUGAAAUUUUUGACGAAAAUGACAAAAAUGCUUCUAUGAGGCAGAAAUUAAAAUUUUAUUGUUUUUAGACGAAAAAAAUUAUCUAUAUUGUUUUAAAACAUGAUUUUUGUAACAGUAAAUCAUAGGGUAGGUGAGGAACUGAUAGAAAGCCUUGCAAGGUCUCGAUAGGGUACUUGAAAGAUGAGUGCUUAUCGGGACAUCGCGACAGUUGUCACGGACUCGAAGGCAGUUCCGGGUCGUGACAAGAUAGCACCCGAGGAUCAAGAAUCGGAGUACUCGAAAUUCGAUUCCCAUUACAGUGAGUAACCUUACUAUCAUCUUAUUUAUCUAAAGUGGUUUUUAUUCGAUUUUGUGAUUUUAUGAAAAAUGAGUUAAAUGGUAAAUCCUUGUGUUUUGUAAUUCAAAUGUGAUUUAAUGAAAUGAUUUUAUAACAUUGUCUUGAAAUGAAAUGAUGGUUUGAAAAUAGAGUAAUUGGAGACUGUUUUCAUGUGUUGUAAAUUCAUGGUUUGAAUCGAAUGGCUUAUGACAAUAAUUGCAUGAAUGGCUGAAUUGGUAUUUGUGUUGAAAUAUAUGAACUGUGUAUUUAGCCUUGAAAGGCUGGACUGUUAUAUAAUUGACAUGUCAUGCUAUUGCAAAUUUUAUCGUAUGGUGGGUUUAGCUUGCUGCAGUGGGCGGGUUUCAUGGAUCAGCCUAUUAGAGGGGCACGGUAACCCCGUUAUAUUCUUACCUUGGUCGGAGAGGCAUGUAGGGUAACUCCCAAGGUACAACUUUGGAGUUCACUUCAUGCUAAACCACCACAUGAGGGUGAACUCAGCCAACGCCAAUGAACGACUAUGUUUUCAAAAUAAAAACAUGAUUUAUGCGUACGUGACUUUUUAACAACCUUGGCGAACUCG